This 274-nucleotide ribosomal RNA is filed under the name uncultured bacterium. Its description in RNAcentral is "partial 16S ribosomal RNA". It matches the Rfam family "Bacterial small subunit ribosomal RNA", at positions 523 to 796 of the family's 1533-position model. The record is from RNAcentral.
AUACGGAGGGUCCGAGCGUUAUGCGGAAUCAUUGGGUUUAAAGGGUCCGUAGGCGGGAAUCUAAGUCAGUGGUGAAAUCUUGCAGCUCAACUGUAAAAUUGCCAUUGAUACUGGAUUUCUUGAAUUAGUGUGAAGUGAUUAGAAUGUGUAGUGUAGCGGUGAAAUGCAUAGAUAUUACACAGAAUACCAAUUGCGAAGGCAGAUCACUAACACUAUAUUGACGCUGAGGGACGAAAGCGUGGGGAGCGAACAGGAUUAGAUACCCUAGUAGUCC